RNAcentral lists this ribosomal RNA (206 nucleotides) under uncultured bacterium. RNAcentral describes it as "partial 16S ribosomal RNA". It matches the Rfam family "Bacterial small subunit ribosomal RNA", at positions 1295 to 1500 of the family's 1533-position model. The record is from RNAcentral.
GGAUUGUAGGCUGCAACUCGCCUACAUGAAGUCGGAAUUGCUAGUAAUCGCGGAUCAGCAUGCCGCGGUGAAUACGUUCCCGGGCCUUGUACACACCGCCCGUCACACCAUGAGAGUCGGGAACACCCGAAGUCCGUAGUCUGACCGCAAGGGGGACGCGGCCGAAGGUGGGUUCGAUAAUUGGGGUGAAGUCGUAACAAGGUAAC